Molecule: ribosomal RNA, 250 nt
Filed under: Anaerolineales bacterium
Lineage: Bacteria; Bacillati; Chloroflexota; Anaerolineae; Anaerolineales
Description: partial 23S ribosomal RNA
Rfam family: Bacterial large subunit ribosomal RNA
Source: RNAcentral
UCCUAGUACGAGAGGACCGGAGUGGACAGACCUCUAGUGUGCCAGUUGUUCCGCCAGGAGCAUCGCUGGGUAGCCAUGUCUGGCAAAGAUAACCGCUGAAAGCAUCUAAGUGGGAAACUUGCCCUAAGAUUAGAUCCCUGUGACCCGUAAGGGUGUAAGACCGCAGGUAGACUACCUGCUUAAUAGGCAGCAUGUGUAAGCGCAGUAAUGUGUUAAGCUAAGCUGUACUAAUGGUCGAGGGCUUCCUUUA